RNAcentral lists this ribosomal RNA (1275 nucleotides) under uncultured fungus. Its description in RNAcentral is "eukaryotic LSU rRNA". The stretch from base 639 to 1275 matches the Rfam family "Eukaryotic large subunit ribosomal RNA", at positions 1 to 649 of the family's 3401-position model. The record is from RNAcentral. Lineage: Eukaryota; Fungi.
AAGUCGUAACAAGGUUUCCGUAGGUGAACCUGCGGAAGGAUCAUUAAAAAAAGGUAACAUACGCACCUAGCGUAUUACUCCUCUCCUCUCUGCCGCAAGGUAGGGAGUGCUUGAGUCCUUAUAACCCUUUGUGAACAUUAUAUCUUUUGCUUCGGCAGCACGCUCCUUUCGGGGGGUUGGUAAGGCUGCCGAUAGCCCAUUUAAACUAUUUUAUUUUAAAUCAUGAAGUCUGAUUACUGUUAAAUUUAAACAAGUUAAAACUUUCAGCAACGGAUCUCUUGGUUCUCGCAUCGAUGAAGAACGCAGCGAAACGCGAUAGGUAAUGUGAAUUGCAGAAUUCCGUGAAUCAUCGAAUCUUUGAACGCACAUUGCGCCUUCUGGUAUUCCGGUAGGCAUGUCUGUUUGAGCGUCAGCAAACACCCUCAGCUUGAGUAUUUUUUCGAUAUUCAACGCUGGUUUUGGACAGUGGAUGCCGGUGGUAAAUUCUCCACCUGCGCCCUCCCUAAACUUGCUGCACGACCGCAAGCCCCUUCUAGCCAGGUCAAUGGAGUGGUGUUACAAUCUUCCAAAAAGCCUGCUGGUAACCGCUUCGUGGCGUUAAACCCAAAGGUCCCCCCCCUCACGGAGGACUGAAGUUUUGACCUCAGAUCAGACAAGGAUACCCGCUGAACUUAAGCAUAUCAAUAAGCGGAGGAAAAGAAACCAACAGGGAUUGCCUCAGUAACGGCGAGUGAAGCGGCAAGAGCUCAGAUUUGAAAUCCUGUACGUUAGCGUGCACGAGUUGUAAUCUGCAGAGAAUGUUUCGGCGGAGACACCGGUCAAAAUUCCUUGGAAUAGGGUUACAUAGAGGGUGAGAAUCCCGUAUCCGGCUGGACGUCAAUGCUAUGUGAAACUUCUUCGACGAGUCGAGUUGUUUGGGAAUGCAGCUCUAACUGGGUGGUAAAUUCCAUCUAAAGCUAAAUAUCUGCGAGAGACCGAUAGCGCACAAGUAGAGUGAUCGAAAGAUGAAAAGCACUUUGAAAAGAGAGUUAAAAAGUACGUGAAAUUGUUGAAAGGGAAGCGCUUGCCAUCAGAAUUGGGGCCGGUCGAUCAGCGUUCCUUCUGGUUCGUGCACUCGUCCGGUUUCCGUGCCAGCACCAGUUGAAGCGGCAGGACAAAGACGUCGGGAAUGUGGCUCUCUUCGGGGAGUGUUAUAGCCCGGCGUGUAAUGCUGCCAGCAUCGACUGAGGACCGCGCGUUUACGCAAGGGUGCUGGCCUAAUGGUUGUAAGCGGCC